This 265-nucleotide ribosomal RNA is filed under the name uncultured bacterium. Its description in RNAcentral is "partial 16S ribosomal RNA". It matches the Rfam family "Bacterial small subunit ribosomal RNA", at positions 793 to 1055 of the family's 1533-position model. The record is from RNAcentral.
GUCCACGCCCUAAACGAUGUCAACUGGUUGUUGGGUUUUCACUGACUCAGUAACGAAGCUAACGCGUGAAGUUGACCGCCUGGGGAGUACGGCCGCAAGGUUGAAACUCAAAGGAAUUGACGGGGACCCCGCACAAGCGGUGGAUGAUGUGGUUUAAUUCGAUGCAACGCGAAAAACCUUACCCACCUUUGACAUGUACGGAAGAUUGCAGAGAUGCGAUUGUGCUCGAAAGAGAGCCGUAACACAGGUGCUGCAUGGCUGUCGU